UCCGAGUUGACCCCGGCAGUCUCCUAUGAGUCCCCACCAUGACGUGCUGGCAACAUCGGACAGGGGUUGCGCUCGUUGCGCCACUUAAGGCAACACCUCACGGCACGAGCUGACGACAGCCAUGCAGCACCUGUGCAGGCUCCCGAAGGAGCACCGUGUUUCCACGGUUUCACCCUGCAUGUCAAGCCCUGGUAAGGUUCUUCGCGUUGCGUCGAAUUAAGCCACAUGCUCCGCCGCUUGUGCGGGUCCCCGUCAAUUCCUUUGAGUUUUAGCCUUGCGGCCGUACUCCCCAGGCGGGGUGCUUAAUGCGUUUGCGACGGCACGGAAGGGGUUGACGUGGAACGGUUGG
Molecule: unclassified non-coding RNA, 349 nt
Filed under: uncultured Actinomycetes bacterium
Lineage: Bacteria; Bacillati; Actinomycetota; Actinomycetes
Description: uncultured actinobacterium contains 16S-23S intergenic spacer region
Source: RNAcentral